GGUGUCGUCAGCUCGUGCCGUGAGGUGUCGGGUUAAGUCCCCAUAACGAGCGCAACCCCUAUCAUUAGUUGCCAUCAGGUCAAGCUGGGGACUCUAAUGAAACUGCCUACGCAAGUAGUGAGGAAGGUGGGGAUGACGUCAAAUCAGCACGGCCCUUACGUCCAGGGCUACACACGUGCUACAAUGGCCGAUACAGAGGGCAGCUACCUGGUGACAGGAUGCAAAUCUCCAAAGUCGGUCUCAGUUCGGAUCGGAGUCUGCAACCCGACUCCGUGAAGUUGGAUUCGCUAGUAAUCGCGCAUCAGCCAUGGCGCGGUGAAUACGUUCCCGGGCCUU
Molecule: ribosomal RNA, 336 nt
Filed under: uncultured Sphingobacteriales bacterium
Lineage: Bacteria; Pseudomonadati; Bacteroidota; Sphingobacteriia; Sphingobacteriales
Description: bacterial SSU rRNA
Rfam family: Bacterial small subunit ribosomal RNA
Source: RNAcentral